UACGUAGGGUGCGAGCGUUGUCCGGAAUUAUUGGGCGUAAAGAGCUCGUAGGCGGCCUGUCGCGUCGGAUGUGAAAGCCCGGGGCUUAACCCCGGGUCUGCAUUCGAUACGGGCAGGCUAGAGUGUGGUAGGGGAGACUGGAAUUCCUGGUGUAGCGGUGGAAUGCGCAGAUAUCAGGAGGAACACCGGUGGCGAAGGCGGGUCUCUGGGCAGUAACUGACGCUGAGGAGCGAAAGCGUGGGGAGCGAACAGG
Molecule: ribosomal RNA, 253 nt
Filed under: uncultured bacterium
Lineage: Bacteria
Description: partial 16S ribosomal RNA
Rfam family: Bacterial small subunit ribosomal RNA
Source: RNAcentral